UACGUAGGGACCAAGCGUUGUUCGGAUUUACUGGGCGUAAAGGGCGCGUAGGCGGCCAUUCAAGUCAGUUGUGAAAUCUCCGAGCUUAACUCGGAACGGUCAACUGAUACUGUUUUGCUAGAGUACAGAAAGGGCAAUCGGAAUUCUUGGUGUAGCGGUGAAAUGCGUAGAUAUCAAGAGGAACACCUGAGGCGAAGGCGGGUUGCUAGGCUGAUACUGACGCUGAAGCGCGAAAGCUAGGGUAGCAAACGGG
This 253-nucleotide ribosomal RNA is filed under the name uncultured bacterium. RNAcentral's name for it is "partial 16S ribosomal RNA". It matches the Rfam family "Bacterial small subunit ribosomal RNA", at positions 524 to 776 of the family's 1533-position model. The record is from RNAcentral.